RNAcentral lists this transfer RNA (76 nucleotides) under Streptomyces aureoverticillatus. Its description in RNAcentral is "tRNA-Arg". It matches the Rfam family "tRNA". Rfam says of the family: Transfer RNA (tRNA) molecules are approximately 80 nucleotides in length. Their secondary structure includes four short double-helical elements and three loops (D, anti-codon, and T loops). Further hydrogen bonds mediate the characteristic L-shaped molecular structure. tRNAs have two regions of fundamental functional importance: the anti-codon, which is responsible for specific mRNA codon recognition, and the 3' end, to which the tRNAs corresponding amino acid is attached (by aminoacyl-tRNA synthetases). tRNAs cope with the degeneracy of the genetic code in two manners: having more than one tRNA (with a specific anti-codon) for a particular amino acid; and 'wobble' base-pairing, i.e. permitting non-standard base-pairing at the 3rd anti-codon position. Lineage: Bacteria; Bacillati; Actinomycetota; Actinomycetes; Kitasatosporales; Streptomycetaceae. The record is from RNAcentral. RNAcentral also lists the same sequence under 3 other names.
GCCUCCGUAGCUCAGGGGAUAGAGCACAGCUCUCCUAAAGCUGGUGUCGCAGGUUCGAAUCCUGCCGGGGGCACCA